This 257-nucleotide long non-coding RNA is filed under the name Heterocephalus glaber (naked mole-rat). RNAcentral's name for it is "lncRNA (ENSHGLG00100038443.1)". Lineage: Eukaryota; Metazoa; Chordata; Mammalia; Rodentia; Bathyergidae. The record is from RNAcentral.
CUUCCUGUGGCAGUGUGCAGUUGUUAUCAAAGCAUAACCUGACCUAAUUCGGCUGACACAACUUCUGUUUUGAUUCCUAUUCUUCCCCAUCUAGAGACAGCUACCGUCAUGAAGUUGUUGGCCAUCUUUCCAUGCCAUUGUGUGGAAAAUGCACCUGCACUCUCUAGACAUUUCUUAAAUGAACUCUUGUUGCUGAAACCCUACUCCAUGCCAGCCUGAUGCUUGGUGCCUGGGAAGAGAGAAGGCUGAGAGGAAAC